GUUGAUUGAUGAUUGAUGAUUGGGAAUUUGCAAUAAGCCGUUGGUCACGUGCCGAGUGGCACGCGCUGAUUGAAAAAGUAAUUUUACUUCAAAAUUAUAAUAUCUAUUGAUACCAAACUUUUUAUUUCUUAGUUAUAUACUCAUAUCCUCUUAUAUCCAUGUUCUUUGUGGUCUUAAAACAUCGUUUUAGUGUCCUAGUGCAAAAACUUUCUUCUUAGUGCACUAAGAAGUCCUUUGCGGUACUUCUACACACCGAUCAACCACUGCUUAGUUCUAGUUAUUUAAGGUCCUAGUGUGAAAUAUAACCAAUAGGAAUUGGUCUUUUUACACUUUUACAUAGGCCUACAUGUAUACGUUUUGUCAAGGGUUGGUUCAUUACCGACCGUGCAAGGGCUGUAUAGCCAGUCAAGGUCGUUAAAAACUUCCAUUUGUUGGUUCAUGCAAUAUUGAAAUUAUGAUUACUCAAUGCGCAGUUACUAGUUACUGAAGUUGAUAUUUGCUACUUUUCUUCUUUAUUUCAUAUAAUUGAUUUUUUUAUUUUUUUUCUUCGAAAAAUUUGUGGUG
Molecule: long non-coding RNA, 564 nt
Filed under: Mytilus galloprovincialis (Mediterranean mussel)
Lineage: Eukaryota; Metazoa; Mollusca; Bivalvia; Mytilida; Mytilidae
Source: RNAcentral